GUGCCUGAAGUCAAGCAAGAUUACCCGCUGAAC
This 33-nucleotide ribosomal RNA is filed under the name Blepharisma musculus. RNAcentral describes it as "partial 28S ribosomal RNA". The record is from RNAcentral. Lineage: Eukaryota; Ciliophora; Heterotrichea; Heterotrichida; Blepharismidae.